Molecule: ribosomal RNA, 424 nt
Filed under: uncultured bacterium
Lineage: Bacteria
Description: partial 16S ribosomal RNA
Rfam family: Bacterial small subunit ribosomal RNA
Source: RNAcentral
GUUAGGAAUAUUGGACAAUGGGCGCAAGCCUGAUCCAGCCAUGCCGCGUGAGUGAUGAAGGCCUUCGGGUUGUAAAGCUCUUUAGUCCACGAAUAUAAUGACUGUAGUGGAAGAAUAAGCACCGGCUAACUUCGUGCCAGCAGCCGCGGUAAUACGAAGGGGGCGAGCGUUAUUCGGAAUCACUGGGCGUAAAGCGUGCGUAGGCUGUUUUGUAAGUCAGAAGUGAAAGCCCAGGGCUUAACCCUGGAAUUGCUUUUGAAACUACAAGACUCGAAUUCGGGAGAGGAUAGCGGAAUUGUCAGUGUAGCAGUGAAAUGCGUAGAUAUUGACAGGAACACCAGUGGCGCAAGCGGCUAUCUGGACCGAUAUUGACGCUGAGGCACGAAAGCGUGGGGAGCAAACAGGAUUAGAUACCCGUGUAGUC